AGGCUGGAGUGAGCGGAG
This 18-nucleotide microRNA is filed under the name Homo sapiens (human). RNAcentral describes it as "hsa-miR-4430". The record is from miRBase by way of RNAcentral. Lineage: Eukaryota; Metazoa; Chordata; Mammalia; Primates; Hominidae.